This is a long non-coding RNA of Pipra filicauda (Wire-tailed manakin), 630 nucleotides long. RefSeq lists it as uncharacterized. The transcript has 3 exons. The record is from RefSeq and is a predicted model, not a curated record. Lineage: Eukaryota; Metazoa; Chordata; Aves; Passeriformes; Pipridae.
CCCAGGGCUUUGCCAUCCCCAGACCUGCUUUGUGCCCAGCAAUUCCUCACAAUAAUUAGCUCAGAGUUCCUGACUGCUGCUGCUGACACAGGCCUGGAGCACCACAGGGGUACCACAUCACCAGGAUCACCACAGCAGGUUGAAGCAAGAGAGAACACACUUUUCCUAAAGGAGGAAGAAGAUUAUCCACCCUCUAUUACACAGAGUUUUCCUUUUGGUGUUUUUCUUUUCGCUGAGCGUGGCAGAGCAGAGAUUUGCUGUGAGAUCUGGCAGAAGGAGCGAGCUUUGAUGACGGAUGCACUGAACAGUUUUGUCUGCUCAGUAUCUUCAAGAGCUGCUCUGAGACUAAGCCAGCCCCCGAGCAGAGGCCGCUGCUGCACAAACCAACAGUGCGAUAACGUGACUCCUGUGGAACCAGCUUUGGCAGUCUUCAUCAAUUGUAAAGAAGAGAAAGCUUCUCCUGGUUUGAUAAAAAGAGUUAGAGCUUCACAGUAAACGUUUCUAACCAGUUCUAAAGUCGAGUUAGUUGGCUGAAGGAAGGGGGGGGAAGGAGAGGAAGCCAAAACGCUUAAAGUUUCCAGCUUAAAAAAAAAAAUAAUAAAAAAAAAAAAAGAAGAAAAUCUUUUUGAA